UUGGUGGAAGUUUACAUGGUAAUGUACAUCAUAUAUUUUUUUUAGUUUUAUCAUUCUCUUAUUUUAGAAGUUACAGGGGGGGGGGGACACACAUUUUACCACUUUGGAAGUGUCUCUCGCGCAAACUAUUCAGUUUAGAAAAAAAUGAUAUUAGAAACCUCAAUAUCAUUUUUGAAGACCUAUCCAUAGAUACCCCACACGUAUGGGUUUGAUGAAAAAAAAAUUUUUGAAAUAAGAGAAUGAUAAAACUAAAAAAAAAUAUGAUUUACAUUGCCAUGCAAACUUCCACCGAAAAUUGGUUUGAACGAGAUCUAGUAAGUAGUUUUUAUUUAAUACGUCAUAAA
This is a long non-coding RNA of Cydia amplana, 344 nucleotides long. RefSeq lists it as uncharacterized. The transcript has 2 exons. The record is from RefSeq and is a predicted model, not a curated record. Lineage: Eukaryota; Metazoa; Arthropoda; Insecta; Lepidoptera; Tortricidae.